GACGAACGCUGGCGGCGUGCUUAACACAUGCAAGUCGAACGGAAAGGCCUCUUUCGGGGGGUACUCGAGUGGCGAACGGGUGAGUAACACGUGAGUAACCUGCCCGUGACUUUGGGAUAACUUCAGGAAACUGGGGCUAAUACCGGAUAGGAGCUCCUGCUGCAUGGUGGGGGUUGGAAAGUUUCGGCGGUUGGGGGUGGACUCGGGGCGUAUCAGCUUGUUGGUGGGGUAGUGGUUUACCAAGGCUUUGACGGGUAGACGGCCUGAGAGGGUGACCGGCCACAUUGGGACUGAGAUACGACCCAGACUCCUACGGGAGGCAGCAGUGGGGAAUAUUGCACAAUGGGUGGAAGCCUGAUGCAGCAACGCCGUGUGCGGGAUGACGGCCUUCGGGUUGUAAACCGCUUUCGCUCAUGACGAAGCUUUGUGUGACGGUAGUGGGUAAAGAAGCACCGGCUAACUACGUG
Molecule: ribosomal RNA, 467 nt
Filed under: uncultured bacterium
Lineage: Bacteria
Description: partial 16S ribosomal RNA
Rfam family: Bacterial small subunit ribosomal RNA
Source: RNAcentral